Molecule: long non-coding RNA, 396 nt
Filed under: Hordeum vulgare
Lineage: Eukaryota; Viridiplantae; Streptophyta; Magnoliopsida; Poales; Poaceae
Description: long non-coding RNA (HVUL_LNC000722)
Source: RNAcentral
AUAGAUUAUUUUUUAACAUCCACAUAUUUAUAAUAUUUUAAAGUAUAAAGAAAAUAAAAAGUAAAGCAAAAAAGGAAAACAGUAAACAAAAAAUAAGGACGGUCUAUGUGGGGCUCCCUCGACGCGAGGUUGCCUUGUGUCUCGCUUAUAGGAGACUAGGGGCGCCCGAUAUUUUAGGCCUCAUUGGUUUGCUAUGGAAAGAAAUUCUAGGGUGAAAAAGGCACGUGUGUAAUUUCAUUGACAUAGGGGGAUCGACGGGGUGUUUUCACAUUGUCAUUUGACAGUUCGUGGAGUUCUCCACACAAAAGACAAUCGAGAAGAGAAAACUAAAUGAGAGGUUCUUCAACCUCGACGCGGCUUCAUUAGAAAAUUGAGACCAUCUUCAACCUAUUAACC